GGUAGAGAUGGGAAACUGUGAAAGCGAUGGGAACUAUCUGGAAUACAGGAUUGAGCGAUCUAGCAGAUACUUAUGAACUUCUGAAGCUCGGUUGUUCAGAUUAUCAUGGAUGAGAUGAUAAGGAAGCGCCUGAUAUAGCUUUCAAAAUUGAAGUUGGGUCGCCGAAUUGAGGCCAAGGCCCAUGUUGUUCUGCAUUUUUACAGAUGGUCUUCUGUGAUCAAAUUGGCGUCUCAAUGUAAGGACUGAAGUGAUAUAGUUAUCUUGUUUCAGUUGUUUGCUUUUGCUUAUUGAUAGAGAUAAUUAUUCCCUAUUCAGUAGAGAUGCUGUCCAAUGAGAGAGUGUCCAUGGCGAUUUUAUCCCGUCCACCCAGCAGUAUGAAACGAGCACACACAUAUGUGUUCUAUUCCAUCCACCUAAGUUUAUGAAUCGAUCUUUCUUCAAGAUAUUUAUGGAAUUUCACCGGUUUCUAUGAUUUAGUGUUG
Molecule: long non-coding RNA, 482 nt
Organism: Triticum aestivum (bread wheat)
Lineage: Eukaryota; Viridiplantae; Streptophyta; Magnoliopsida; Poales; Poaceae
Exons: 3
Source: RefSeq, a predicted model, not a curated record